AUUGAGUAUUGUGGUGGUACAGAUAUGUGAAAAUGUUUAGGUUUGAAGGUUUUCAAUGGUGAAGUACAUAUGUGAUCUUAGAGGUGAAUCAUUGUGGAUUUGGAUUCUUGUAUUGUCAUGGAUAUUGUUGAGUUUGUGAAAUUAGCUCUAGAGAUUACCUUUAUGGCUGCCUUCAUUUCCUGAUCGGUUUACUUGCAUACACACGUUUGCAUAGAAUGAGAGGGUUAUCUGAUCCGUAAGCUGCUGAUAAAAUUGAGUUAGCGAAGACAACAAAGGAAGGGAGAAAAAG
This 289-nucleotide unclassified non-coding RNA is filed under the name Hevea brasiliensis (rubber tree). The record is from RNAcentral. Lineage: Eukaryota; Viridiplantae; Streptophyta; Magnoliopsida; Malpighiales; Euphorbiaceae.